AGAGUUUGAUCCUGGCUCAGGACGAACGCUGGCGGCGUGCUUAACACAUGCAAGUCGAACGGUGAAGCUUCGGGGUGGAUCAGUGGCGAACGGGUGAGUAACGCGUGAGUAAUCUGCCUCUGACUCUGGGAUAACCACGGGAAACGGUGGCUAAUACCGGAUAUGACGUAUGGCCGAGUGGUCUGUGCGUGGAAAGUUUUUCGGUCAGAGAUGAGCUCGCGGCCUAUCAGCUUGUUGGUGGGGUAAUGGCCUACCAAGGCGACGACGGGUAGCCGGCCUGAGAGGGCGACCGGCCACACUGGGACUGAGACACGGCCCAGACUCUACGGGAGGCAGCAGUGGGGAAUAUUGCGCAAUGGGCGAAAGCCUGACGCAGCGACGCCGCGUGAGGGAUGAAGGCUUCGGGUCGUAAACCUCUUUCAGCAGGGAAGAAGCGAGAGUGACGGUACCUGCAGAAGAAGCACCGGCUAACUACGUGCCAGCAGCCGCGGUAAUACGUAGGGUGCAAGCGUUGUCCGGAAUUAUUGGGCGUAAAGAGCUCGUAGGCGGUCUGUCGCGUCUGCUGUGAAAACCUAGGGCUUAACUCUGGGCGUGCAGUGGGUACGGGCAGGCUAGAGUGCGGUAGGGGAGACUGGAAUUCCUGGUGUAGCGGUGAAAUGCGCAGAUAUCAGGAGGAACACCGGUGGCGAAGGCGGGUCUCUGGGCCGUAACUGACGCUGAGGAGCGAAAGCAUGGGGAGCGAACAGGAUUAGAUACCCUGGUAGUCCAUGCCGUAAACGUUGGGCGCUAGGUGUGGGGCUCAUUCCACGAGUUCUGCGCCGCACUAACGCAUUAAGCGCCCCGCCUGGGGAGUACGGCCGCAAGGCUAAAACUCAAAGGAAUUGACGGGGGCCCGCACAAGCGGCGGAGCAUGCGGAUUAAUUCGAUGCAACGCGAAGAACCUUACCAAGGCUUGACAUGGGAUGAAAACUCGUAGAGAUACGGGGUCCGCAAGGGCGUCUCACAGGUGGUGCAUGGUUGUCGUCAGCUCGUGUCGUGAGAUGUUGGGUUAAGUCCCGCAACGAGCGCAACCCUCGUUCCAUGUAGCCAGCACGUUAUGGUGGGGACUCAUGGGAGACUGCCGGGUCAACUCGGAGGAAGGUGGGGAUGACGUCAAAUCAUCAUGCCCCUUAUGUCUUGGGCUUCACGCAUGCUACAAUGGCCAGUACAAAGGGCUGCGAGACCGUGAGGUGGAGCGAAUCCCAAAAAUGGGAGACUGCCGGGGUCAACUCGGAGGAAGGUGGGGAUGACGUCAAAUCAUCAUGCCCCUUAUGUCUUGGGCUUCACGCAUGCUACAAUGGCCAGUACAAAGGGCUGCGAGACCGUGAGGUGGAGUUAAUCCCAAAAAGCUGGUCUCAGUUCGGAUCGGGGUCUGCAACUCGACCCCGUGAAGUCGGAGUCGCU
RNAcentral lists this ribosomal RNA (1443 nucleotides) under uncultured Kineosporia sp. Its description in RNAcentral is "partial 16S ribosomal RNA". It matches the Rfam family "Bacterial small subunit ribosomal RNA", at positions 8 to 1336 of the family's 1533-position model. Lineage: Bacteria; Bacillati; Actinomycetota; Actinomycetes; Kineosporiales; Kineosporiaceae. The record is from RNAcentral.